Molecule: ribosomal RNA, 465 nt
Filed under: uncultured bacterium
Lineage: Bacteria
Description: partial 16S ribosomal RNA
Rfam family: Bacterial small subunit ribosomal RNA
Source: RNAcentral
GACGAACGCUGGCGGCGUGCUUAACACAUGCAAGUCGUACGGUAAGGCCCUUUCGGGGGUACCCGAGUGGCGAACGGGUGAGUAACACGUGAGUAACCUGCCCACAACUUUGGGAUAACGCUAGGAAACUGGUGCUAAUACUGGAUAUGUGCUCCUGCUGCAUGGUGGGGGUUGGAAAGCUCCGGCGGUUGUGGAUGGACUCGCGGCCUAUCAGCUUGUUGGUGGGGUAGUGGCCUACCAAGGCGGCGACGGGUAGCCGGCCUGAGAGGGUGACCGGCCACAUUGGGACUGAGAUACGGCCCAGACUCCUACGGGAGGCAGCAGGGGGGAAUAUUGCACAAUGGGCGCAAGCCUGAUGCAGCAACGCCGCGUGCGGGAUGACGGCCUUCGGGUUGUAAACCGCUUUCAGCAGGGACGAAGCUUUUUGUGACGGUACCUGCAGAAGAAGCACCGGCUAACUACGUG